GCCCAGGUGGCGGAAUUGGUAGACGCGCACGACUCAAACUCGUGUACCUCUGGUGUGCGGGUUCGAUUCCCGCCCUGGGCA
Molecule: transfer RNA, 81 nt
Filed under: Schleiferiaceae bacterium
Lineage: Bacteria; Pseudomonadati; Bacteroidota; Flavobacteriia; Flavobacteriales; Schleiferiaceae
Description: tRNA-Leu
Rfam family: tRNA
About the family: Transfer RNA (tRNA) molecules are approximately 80 nucleotides in length.
Source: RNAcentral